This is a long non-coding RNA of Osmia bicornis bicornis, 1139 nucleotides long. RefSeq lists it as uncharacterized. The transcript has 3 exons. The record is from RefSeq and is a predicted model, not a curated record. NCBI's taxonomy places the organism in Eukaryota, Metazoa, Arthropoda, Insecta, Hymenoptera, Megachilidae.
AUGAGGUAUAGGCAUAUUUUUUAACGUAUUUUGAUGAAUAAAUUUUCUUUUGUUUUCUCCUUUCUAAUUAUAGCUUAUGUAUUUUUUAUGCAUUGUGCAAAGUAAGAAUGAAUUCGGUUUAUUUCUUUGUAAAACAGAAUUUUUCUUCAUUCAGAUGCGGGGGAUAUCCAUAUUAAGGAUCAGUAGGAGCGACGAACAGUGGUUCAGAUCGAACAAUUAGCUGUUCAUUUGCUAAAAAAUCAAUUUCCUCAUUUUUUUUGAUAAACUUUUAACAUCUGGAAAGGAAAAUUCUCAGGCAAACAGACUACUUGCUCUUGAAAUGAACAGCAGGCUCAGCGAUAACAGAACCAAAUGUUAUGGGAAAGCAAUGGGUCACUGUAAUCGCACUCUAAACAUCACCGAACCCUACGGGCCCAGCCCGAUUAGCUAAAUAGUAACCAGAUCACCCUUUCUCAUUAGUAUAUAAACCCGUUCGCACCAACGCUCUUCGGUCAGUACCAAAAGUCAUCUUGUGUCGAGAACUUCGUGUACGAACGUGAGCUGGUUGCUAGUUAGUGAGAUCGGAUUAAAGUCUCCUUCAAGCAUAGUUGACCUUAUAGAAUCCGCGAAAUCGAGUCAGUGUUUCUAUGUGGUAUUAUAAUCAACCACACACACAACACCCUGCAUUGCCAGUGCGUCAAAACCGAGCAUACUGCGGAGAUAGUAGGUACUCGAACGAUUAACCGGAAGGAAAUCGGGUCAGCUGUUCGUUCUUCUUCAACAUGCAUGCUGUUACUUCAGGACUAACGUUACAUAUCAAGCAAAUCUCGGCGAAAGCAUGCUAUUUCCAGGCAUUCCCCUACACGAGGGCACAAUGCACGUGAAUGGAGACUUGAUCGCAUGUACAAUUCCGAGCAUGUUUGACUUUUCUAAGAAAAGUGGUGACGUAGAUAAAGGAGGUUCAAUUACUUCAGAAGCAUCACGCAUUAUGUUUAAUUUGUACGACACAUUUUUAUACUCAACAAACAAUAAAAUUUUGCUAAGUAAACAUUUAUAUGACGAACUUCCCUCUUUAAUACAUCGCCAUUUUUCCUAGGGAAGCGUACUAUGCUCGGUGUUGUACCAAGUCUCUAUGUCGUGCUAUCGUGAAAGUUUUCGCU